GUGUGUGUGUGUGUAGUGGAUGCAGAGUGUGUGUAUAUAAUGCAGUGUGUGUAGUGUGUAUAUAAUGCAGUGUGUUUAUGUAGUGUGUGUAUAUAAUGCAGUGUGUGUAGUGUGUAUAUAAUGCAGUGUGUUUAUGUAGUGUGUGUAUAAUGCAGUGUGUUUUUGUGUGUGUAUGUAAUGCAGUGUGUGUGUGUUUGUGUAGUGUGUAUGUAUGUAAUGCAGUGUGUGUUUGUGUAGUGUGUGUUUGUGUAGUGUGUAUGUAAUGCAGUGUGUCUGUGUAGUGUGUAUGUAAUGCAGUAUGU
Non-coding RNA from Pelobates cultripes (western spadefoot toad), 302 nucleotides. NCBI's taxonomy places the organism in Eukaryota, Metazoa, Chordata, Amphibia, Anura, Pelobatidae. The record is from the annotation of a GenBank genome assembly.